CCUACGGGAGGCAGCAGUGAGGAAUAUUGGUCAAUGGACGAGAGUCUGAACCAGCCAAGUAGCGUGAAGGAUGACUGCCCUAUGGGUUGUCCACUUCUUUUAUAUGGGACUAAAAUGUUCCACGUGUGGGAUUUUGUAUGUACCAUAUGAAUAACGACCGGCUACAUCCGUGCCAGCGGCCGCGGUAAUACGGAGGUUCCGGGCGUUAUCCGGAUUUAUUGGGUUUAAAGGGAGCGUAGGUGGAUUGGUAAGUCAGUUGUGAAAGUUUGCGGCUCAACCGUAAAAUUGCAGUUGAAACUGGCAGUCUUGAGUACAGUAGAGGUAGGCGGAAUUCGUAGUGUAGCGGUGAAAUGCUUAGAUAUCACGAAGAACUCCGAUUGCGAAGGCAGCACACUGGACUGCAACUGACGCUGAGGCUCGAAAGUGUGGGUAUCAAACAGGAUUAGAUACCCGUGUAGUC
RNAcentral lists this ribosomal RNA (460 nucleotides) under uncultured bacterium. RNAcentral describes it as "partial 16S ribosomal RNA". It matches the Rfam family "Bacterial small subunit ribosomal RNA", at positions 338 to 795 of the family's 1533-position model. The record is from RNAcentral.